AUGGUGUCAAUGCAAUUAAGUCUGUUUUCAACUGUGUUUCUGAUCACACUAACAGGUGUCAGCUGUGAAGAACUCACUCCAGUCAACAAUGAAGAGUACAGUUUAGAAGGCAGCUCUGUUACUCUGUCCUACAAAUACUAUCAAGCUGCAACUGGCAAUGAUUAUUUCUUCUGGUAUCGACAAUAUCCAGGAAAACCACCAGAGUUCCUCAUCUCUCAUUUAGGAACAGGGAUUCAACUAUCAGAUUCAGCACUUCGACUCUCUUUUAAUGUGAGUGAAGAUAAAACCCAAAUGAAUCUUCAGAUCUCCUCUGCUGCAGUGACAGACUCUGCUGUGUACUACUGUGCUGUGAGUAUCCAGAGUUCAGAGCAUAAAUGUGUGUUUUGA
Molecule: non-coding RNA, 387 nt
Organism: Scomber japonicus (chub mackerel)
Lineage: Eukaryota; Metazoa; Chordata; Actinopteri; Scombriformes; Scombridae
Source: the annotation of a RefSeq genome assembly